Sander lucioperca (pikeperch) is the source of this 247-nucleotide long non-coding RNA. RefSeq lists it as uncharacterized. The record is from RefSeq and is a predicted model, not a curated record. The transcript is spliced from 3 exons. Lineage: Eukaryota; Metazoa; Chordata; Actinopteri; Perciformes; Percidae.
AGACGGACGGUUCUGAUGGUUCUGAUGAGUCUGAUUGGGUUAGUAUCGUUUUAACUCGACACUUGUAUGUUCCAGCGUCGUGUCUGCUCACAUUCUUCAGAAUUAAAGACACGUCUCUGUCCUUCAGAUCUCUGUUCACCAGCUCCACCCUGUCCUUAAAGGAUGGAUGCUGGUCAGGUCUGGUCCACUCUACAACACUGAUGGAGGAAUCAGCAGCCUCACAUGGUAGAAUGACAUCAUCUCCAGG